Molecule: long non-coding RNA, 668 nt
Organism: Heterocephalus glaber (naked mole-rat)
Lineage: Eukaryota; Metazoa; Chordata; Mammalia; Rodentia; Bathyergidae
Source: RefSeq, a predicted model, not a curated record
AUGGAAACGGCAGACCAUGGAAGUGGGAUGUGGAAGGUGGGAGAUGGAUGUGGAAGGGCCCAUCUCCCUCCUUGACUCCUCCCCUCUGUCUCUGCUUCCUGGCCCCCGGAAAUGAGCAACUUUCUUCCUCCCAGACUCUUUCCACUGUGCCGUUUUCCCCUUGGAGCUGACCAACCAUGGACUGAAAGUGUGAGCCAAGAUAAACCUCUCCACCUUUAAAUUGUGGGUGUUGGGUACUGUGCCCCAGUGACAAGAAAGUGACCAAGACACACAUGGUUACACACUGCUAUGUACUAAGAAGGAGAGAUCCGGAUACCAGACAGUGCAGACUCCUGUGCCGGACAGGGAGGUUUACAAUAUAGAACUACGAAAAGGAUAGAAGGAGGACUCUUGUCCAUUAAAAGUUUUUCUAUAAUUCAGAGCUGAAGAAAUGAAUCAGUGCCAUUGUUUUGCUGAAGGUCAAUACCAGAUAAUUCACAAAAAGAAAGAACACCCAGGAAAUCACAGGACAAGAUGCAAUUUCAGGUAUCCAGCUCAGCACCCAAACUAGUCACCAUUUAACUCUGGAAGCAAAGACCAGAAUGAACCCUCAUACAUUGUGCCAGUGCGGAUGAGCUUGGUAUCAUUCAUCUUUCUCAGAAAUAAUAAAAAUCCCAAUGCUAUGAGGA